AGUCGAACGAUCGACUUUUGUGCUUGCACAGAAUGAUUAGGGWUUAACGGGUGAGUAACACGCGAGUGACCUGGCCCUGACKCUGGGAYAAGCCUGGGAAACUGGGUCUAAUACCGGAUAUGCACCGUGGACCGCAUGGUUCUUGGUGGAAAGAAUUUUGGNCAGGGAUGGACUCGCGGCCUAUCAGCUUGUUGGUGAGGUAAUGGCUCACCAAGGYGACNACGKGUAGCCGGCCUGAGAGGGUGACCGGCCACACUGGGACUGAGACACGGCCCAGACUCCUACGGGAGGCAGCAGUGGGGNUAAUAUUGCACAAUGGGCGAAAGCCUGAUGCAUCGACGCCGCAUGAGGGAUGACGGCCUUCGGGAUGUAAACCUCUUUCAGUACGGAAGAAGCGAAAGU
Molecule: ribosomal RNA, 402 nt
Filed under: Arthrobacter sp. 235-2
Lineage: Bacteria; Bacillati; Actinomycetota; Actinomycetes; Micrococcales; Micrococcaceae
Description: SSU rRNA
Rfam family: Bacterial small subunit ribosomal RNA
Source: RNAcentral